AUUGAACGCUGGCGGCAGGCCUAACACAUGCAAGUCGAGCGGCAGCACUUCGGGUGGCGAGCGGCGGACGGGUGAGUAACACGUAGGAAUCUACCUAGUAGUGGGGGAUAGCCCGGGGAAACUCGGAUUAAUACCGCAUACGCUCUACGGAGGAAAGGGGGCUUCGGCUCUCGCUAUUAGAUGAGCCUGCGUCGGAUUAGCUAGUUGGUGAGGUAAAGGCUCACCAAGGCGACGAUCCGUAACUGGUCUGAGAGGAUGAUCAGUCACACUGGAACUGAGACACGGUCCAGACUCCUACGGGAGGCAGCAGUGGGGAAUAUUGGACAAUGGGGGAAACCCUGAUCCAGCCAUGCCGCGUGUGUGAAGAAGGCCU
Molecule: ribosomal RNA, 373 nt
Filed under: uncultured bacterium
Lineage: Bacteria
Description: bacterial SSU rRNA
Rfam family: Bacterial small subunit ribosomal RNA
Source: RNAcentral